Molecule: RNA transcript, 1303 nt
Organism: Paramacrobiotus metropolitanus
Lineage: Eukaryota; Metazoa; Tardigrada; Eutardigrada; Parachela; Macrobiotidae
Gene name: STING ER exit protein-like
Exons: 7
Source: RefSeq, a predicted model, not a curated record
UUCUCUGUAUUUGUGCUCGCAAUCGCAUUCAUGUCGCAUAACAACCGAGGAGUCUGCAAAUCCGAAGAGCGUUUCAUAAUUUUUCAUUUUAUUUGCGAACAUAUGUUUAUUUGUCGAGAAGUUCAUAAAAAUCUUUGAUUAUUUAGUAUUUGAUGAUUGGAAUCCGUAUCUUUUAACUCGAUUGUCAGGUUUCCACGUUUGUCUAGUGCGAAGGAAGUAAUCCGACAUGGCCAACAAACACCAUCGUCCCAAUCAACCAGCUGAUAUCCAGGACCAAGAGGAAUACGAAGGCGACAAACCUCUCAACAUUUACUAUUGUAUCUGCGGGCAAAUGCUCUGUAUUCUCGACUGUCCCUUCGAGAAACUCCCGCUGCGCUCCACGGACGGCUCUCGCGUAAUCGACGGCGCGAAGCAUGCUUACAAGCUGACAUGUAUCGACGGUGAAGUGGUCUAUCUCCGACGGCCCGACGGAAUAGAGAAGCAGUACAGGAAGAAGUGCAGCACAUGUGGUAUCUGGGCGUUUUACGAGCACAAACAGCGCAGUUCUCCCGUGGUAUUCGUUCUGCCCGGCGCCCUGUGCAAAUCCGGAUCCUCCAAUGUGUCGACGAAAGUCGCUGAGGAGCCCGUUAAAAAGGCGUUUAUUCGCAAAACGACGACGCAUAUGGGUCGAACCAGUUCGGUUACGGUGUCCACAGUGGAGGAGGAUGAAGACGAACUCGAAGCUCGUGAUAUGGCCGAUUCCUACGCCGCAAACGCCAAGAUUAUCGAGAAACAACUGGAAAGGAAGGGCGUCGUCAACAAGCGAAAGGCACUGGAAGAGGAAGCACUUAAGAAAUAUCGAGCGUUCAUUAGUUAUGAAAUAUGAAGGACGAAGCUGGCCGCAUCCGCUUAAUGUAGAAUAUGAAUUAAUCCAUACCGCAGAACACAGAAGAUGCGUGAAUGUUGUAACUUACCAUUAGAAUGGAGCAGUUUAUAUGAAAACGAAGAUCAAACAUGACAAAUGGAAGCAAAAAAAGAUCGGCAACGCGGAACGCUGCUGGAUGCAUAGUAAUGGAUCUCUUAAUUGUCAUUUUCCCAUUGCUGAUUCCGAUUAUGCAAUCGUGUCGAAACGAUAGCGUUAAUCUUGUUCAAUACGUCGUCAAACUUUUGACAUUUUAAUUAGAAACAAAUUGACUGUUGGUUUUUAAUCUCGGAAACAAUCCAGUGCCCGAUCAGCGCAUGUGCCGGCAAUCGUGGCAGUUGUACAUAAAAAUAGCUUAACAGAAAAAGAGAAACAAAAUUGGAAAUGCACUGUUGACACACC